ACUAAAGUGGCAGAUAAAGUGCAAUAGAGUUAAGUUCUACUAAUAAAAUAAUCAUUUUCUUUAGUU
RNAcentral lists this transfer RNA (66 nucleotides) under Acanthochitona mahensis. Its description in RNAcentral is "tRNA-Leu". Lineage: Eukaryota; Metazoa; Mollusca; Polyplacophora; Chitonida; Acanthochitonidae. The record is from RNAcentral.